Molecule: long non-coding RNA, 654 nt
Filed under: Mytilus galloprovincialis (Mediterranean mussel)
Lineage: Eukaryota; Metazoa; Mollusca; Bivalvia; Mytilida; Mytilidae
Source: RNAcentral
AUUCCCCAUUUCCAUUCUCAAUUUUAUCAGAUUUAUUUUUUGGUAUGCCAGAUGAGCAUUUUGUCUUUUAAAGACUCUUCAAUGGGGCUCUAAUCAUAGCAGUUGAAAGGUUAACAAAUUUUGUUCAUAUUUGAGUUAAUGGAAAACUUUUUUUUAUGAAAUAAUCAACUGUUCUAAUAAUGGAUAGCUUAAUGAUAGCAAUUGGUUCUUUCAUCAGUACAAUAUAUUAAACAAAGUCAAUGAUGAUUUUAUUGUCUACCUAAAAAUAAUGAAAUAAACCUGUUCUCUUUUACACAAUCAAAUAUGUAUUUCCCAUGGGGUAUGGGUUUUGCUCAUUGUUGAAGGUUAUUCUGUGACCUAUAGUGAUAAAUUUUAGAUCAUCUGGUCUCUGGCUGGAGGUUUUCUCAUUGGCAUUCAUACCUCAUCUUAUUUUUAAAUUUACUAUAACACAAUCAAGGUUUUUGUAUCAUGUAUAAUUAUAUACAAUGUAUUUUAAGCAAGUUUAUGAUAUUUAAAAAAAGUUUAAACAUAUUUCAUAUUUCAACCUUUAAUAUAUUCACCAUUUUAAUUUUCAAUUCCUUAUAUUUCCUUGUAUAUUUUUUUUGUUCAUAUUAUAUUUUGUUGUUGAGAAAUCCAAGCUUGUUAGAAGCCUUA